Molecule: long non-coding RNA, 1786 nt
Filed under: Homo sapiens (human)
Lineage: Eukaryota; Metazoa; Chordata; Mammalia; Primates; Hominidae
Description: HSALNT0330423
Source: RNAcentral
CAAGAAAUAACCAUAAAAAUGGGCAACCAGCAGCCCUUGGGGUUGCUCAGUCUAUGGAGUAGCCAUUAUUUUAUUCCUUUACUUUCUUAAUAAACUCGCUUUCACUUUACUUUAUGGACUCGCUCUGAAUUCUUCCUUGUGCGAGAUCCAAGAACCCUCUUUUGGGGUCUGGAUCUGGACCCCUUUCCUGUAACUUCUUUCUGGUGACCCAGGUGGGAUUAUAGUGUGUAAGCCCCCAGUAAGUGGUGAGGUCCUGUAACAUCUUUCUGGCAACUAUGGAAUGGACUGCAGUAUGGAAACCCCGACCCAAAGGCUAACUUUGGGUAAGUGGUGGGGUCCGGUAACAUCUUUCUGGUGAACCCUAAAGGGACGAUACUUAGGAGACUCCUGACUCAAAGGAAAUAGACUAUAGCACUGAUUGGACAAUUUUGGAUAAGUGGUGGGGUACCCAGAUAAAGAAUGGGAUUGGGUUAGAAGCCCAACUUAGGAGGGUUAGAGUCCCUUCUAAGAUUUAGGGGGCUAGAAGCCCCUCUCGGUAAAGUCCCCUUUGGCUAAGAACAGGUUUGGCACUACGGUAUGUUAACUUCUAUUCUCCUUGGAAUAAUCUGCCUUGUACUCUUUGCUGAUGGAUGCGGAUGACAGGGUUAGGCAGGUACAGGAUCAUGGGACAUGAGGAGCUUUUUCCUCCCGUAAAGGGGAAACUUGAGAGUCGAUGGGACUGCUGGAAAACAUCCCUUCACUACCGAGAAGUGGCCACCUGAACUCUUCACUGUCGCUGCAGUGGGUGGAUCUUUCUGUGGCUUCCCUGAACGCCUGGCCUUCCCCACCUUGCCUCAGGCAAUGCUGUCGUCUCUCUCUGUGCAAACUGGUUGUAGGAAUGGUAAAAAUCACUAUUUCUUACAAAGUUUUGAUUAAUGGAAGAAAGGAUUUGUGAGGCUAGUCUUAAGCUGUAGCCAAUCUGGUGUGUUUCCUGUGUCAUUCUGUAUUGUUCUGUCAUAAAGAGGGGUACCUUAGGAUAGAACAUGGGCUUAGGACACCUAUAAGCCUGCUGUUCAAGAUGGCCCAGCAAACUGGUCAGUUAAAAACUUUGCUGCAGGACACAAUUGGAAACAGUGGUUAUUUUACCAACGCUUUGACUGGAAUGGCACGUUUUCCUUUAAGGAAUCAAACUUGACUUGUAAAGCCAAUAAAAGCCCCUUGGGGAAUUGGCCUCAGACCUUGUCUACAACAGCCCCUGUACAGGGUUUCUGACCUGUGAUAUCACCUUUUGUCAAAACUCGGAGUUAUGAAUUGCCCUCGCCAUACUGAUGCUUUCUGACUGAGCUCCUCUCUACCCUGAAUACAAGAGACUCUCAUAGUUAAGCAAGAAUAUCAUUGCUCCUAUUCAGCAUGAAGAAGUUACAGAAGAUGGAUUUUCAACCCUCUGCAACCCUUAGGAUUAAAAUUAUACAAACCUUUAGGAUUAUAAAAGGGAGGGGGUAAUGUCAGGCGUGUGAACCAGAGCAACUCCAUUUUGAGUAGAAGCUGUGUAAAACGAGGCUGAAACCUACUAGGCUGCAUUCCCAGACAGUUAAGGCAUUCUAAGUCACAGGAUGAGAUAGGAGGCUGGCAUAAAAUACAGGUCAUAAACAGCUUGCAGAUAAAACAGGUUGCAGUAAAGAAGCUGGCUAAAACCCACCAAAACCUAGAUGGUGACAAGAGUCACUUCUUAUCAUCCUCACUGCUACACUCCCACCAGUGCCAUGAUAGUUUACAGAUGCCAUGGCAACAUCAGGACAUUACCCUA